CUCCUCCAGUUCCUAGAAACCAUGGGAAUGAAGCAAACUGGGAAGAAGACGAGCCAGUAUUUUUUUUUUAAUUCCAUUCUUGAUGAAGUUCAAUAUAGUUUCAGAAGUAACAGGUUACUCAGUGCUAGUUAACCCAGAUCUGGUCACUCGUCCGGUCAGCGUUCAACCAAGGCUUCAGGAUAUUGGUGCCCUUUCAGUUACAGGAGAAAAAACAAGUUUCCCGUGGAUUUUGGAGUGAGGACGGGGUUCAGUUCGGCCCCUGCCCCCGCCUGCGGGGCGGCGGCGGCGGGAUGGCUCCGUGCGCUCCCCCCCGGCCGCCGCUGCAGCCGCCUGGAGCUGCCCGCUCCCCCCAGCGGCUCGGGCACACGCAACAGAACUGACUUUUCCUCCCAACACUUUAUAUCGUUAGAACGCAUCAUUGGAACGUGUCGCUGUUUUGUUUACCUCACGCACCACACUUCGUUCACCCGCACCAGGAGAAGCGGCCAUCGAUGGCUUUGCUAGCCUGAGCGCGCCGUGCAGCGUCGGCUGCGCCCUGCAGACACGGCCCGAUGCCCCAGGCAACCCCCGCGCGGGGCUUCGCUCGGGCCGCGCAGGCCGCCGUGCCCCCCAGUACCGGGCCGAGCCCCUGUCCAGGCAGCGGCCAGCGGGGCGCGGCGGCCCGCAGGCACCUGAGCGCGGCGGCUGCGCGGGGGGCGAGCGGGCGGGGCCGGCCCGGCCCGGCCCUCACAUGCGCGGCGCCGCGGGAGCCAUUGGCCGCCGCCGGGCCGCGGGGCCGGCCCUCGCCGGCAGCCGGUGCUGUCCGUGCGCCGAGCCAUGCGGGUGCGCGCCGCAUACGGAGAGCGCGCUGCAGGGCGCUGCUAGGAGCCGAGCCCGCCCGGCCCGGCCCGGCCUCCCCCUCCCCUCCGAGCCCGCCGCCGCCCGCAUGGCAGCGCCGCGGGAGUGACCGCCCCGGAGAAGGUCUGCGUCCCCGCGGCACGGCACGGCCCGGCCCGGCGUGGCGCGGCCGGGCGGCUUUCGGGGUCCCUCAGCCCGCGGGGCCGUCCCUGAGGAAGAGUUCCAGAGAGAAAUAGUUUGUGAACUGUACAUCCACAUGGAAAUAGCAAAAUUGCCUGCUUAGGUCCUUCAAUGAUAUCUUUGUUAAAUCACUUUUUAGAAUAAAGUCACGUGUUAAGGAAUAAUUCCAACACACUGAUAAUACUUGCAAACUUUUUUAGGAUAUUUUUACUUUGUGACUUUUCCUGUGGUCUAAGCGUUGCUAAUGUAGCAGACUAAAGGUGUUUUAUUCCCAUUUCUAGCCCACAGCACGGACUUAAAGGUUCUUCCUUUUAUAACUGGUCAAGCUUGAAACUUUGCCUUCCUCAAACACUCUGUCAUGUUAUACAGCGUGAAGUCCUGUGCAAUUCAUCUGAAUUCUUGGGCUGUAAUCUUUUUGAGGCAGGAUUACACAAUGCAUAAUGCAGUAAGGCUUUGAUAGAGAGUGGGAAAUUGAGCCUUUUAAGCCAUGCAAAUAUCAAGUGCUAGAAGAGUCUAGCUCUUGUUCCAGGAAUCACUUUUUUUUGUUAGCUUGAAUACAAAGGAACUCCAAAAGACCCGGGAGCUGAGCACUGCAGAAGGAGCAUACAGCAUAUGAUGCGAGUAUUGUGAAAGGUAGUGGCAACUGAUGCAUGGCGUGAUGAGGCAGAGAGAGGAUGCCCCUAAUGAGUCAGGAGCAGGACUGCUAUAAUGGUCUGUCUUAUAAAGCAUGUUUUAACCUGGCAGUAGCUUUGCCAGUCGUACAGAGCGAGCAGCACAAGCCAUUAGCCCCAUUUUGGGACAAGGCUGCAACUUUCAAUCAAGCCUAAAGACCACUGUCUGAUUGCCAGCCAGCUGUUGUGCUGGCUGUUCCCUUUCUUGGCUUCAAACCCGAAAUAACAGUCAUCUCAUGCCUGCUUACGUGUGGUGAGCAGCGAUCCAACUUUGAUGUAUCUGC
Long non-coding RNA from Falco tinnunculus (common kestrel), 1972 nucleotides. The record is from Ensembl. NCBI's taxonomy places the organism in Eukaryota, Metazoa, Chordata, Aves, Falconiformes, Falconidae.